RNAcentral lists this ribosomal RNA (502 nucleotides) under uncultured bacterium. RNAcentral's name for it is "bacterial SSU rRNA". It matches the Rfam family "Bacterial small subunit ribosomal RNA", at positions 21 to 518 of the family's 1533-position model. The record is from RNAcentral.
GGCUCAGGAUGAACGCUAGCGACAGGCCUAACACAUGCAAGUCGAGGGGCAGCGCGGGGUAGCAAUACUCUGGCGGCGACCGGCGCACGGGUGCGUAACAGGUGUGCAAUCUGUCCAUAGUCGGGGAAUAGCCCAGCGAAAGUUGGAUUAAUGCUCCAUGUGAGCGAGUGCCGCAUGACACUUGCUUGAAACGUAAGGACUAUGGGUGAGCACGCUUCUGAUUAGGUAGUUGGUGAGGUAACGGCUCACCAAGCCGACGACCAGUAGGGGUUCUGAGAGGAAGGUCCCCCACAUUGGAACUGAGACACGGUCCAAACUCCUACGGGAGGCAGCAGUGAGGAAUAUUGGUCAAUGGGCGCGAGCCUGAACCAGCCAAGUCGCGUGAAGGAUAGAAGGUUCUAUGGAUUGUAAACUUCUUUUAUUCGAGGGUAAAGUGUGGUACGUGUACCAUAUUGCAAGUAUCGAAUGAAUAAGCAUCGGCUAACUCCGUGCCAGCCGCUGC